GUAGAGAGAAUGAUUAGAGCGCCUCGGGGACGCCCGUGUCACUCACCUCUUCUCAAACUACGAACGGACGAGAAGGAGCCUCUCCCGAUUCGGAGGCCUCCCGUAAGGAUGCAGAGUGGCGCGUGGGCCACUUUUGGUAAGCAGAACUGGCGCUGCGGGAUGAACCAACGCCGGGUUAAGGCGCCCGAUGCGGGACGCUCAGAGACCCAUAAAAGGUGUCGGUUGCUCUAUACAGCAGGACGGUGGCCACGGAAGUCGGCAUCCGCUAAGAGUGUGUAAACAACUCACCUGCCUAAGCAACCGGUCCUGAAAAUGGAUGGCGCUCCAGCGUCGAGCCCAUACCCGGCCCUUUCUCUAACGUCGAUAUUACGAGAAAGGAGUAGGAGGGUCGCGGCGGAGAGCGUAAGAAGUCAGGCGCGAACCCGACUGGAGCCUCCGCCGGUGCAGAUCUUGGUGGUAGUAGCAAAUAUUCGAGUGAGAACCUCGAAGACUGAAGCACGGAGAAGGGUUCCAUGUGAACAGCAGUUGAACAUGGGUGAGUCGGUCCUGAUUCACUUCCUAAUGGAAUACUUAAGACUUCUAUUAUUUGAGAUGAGAAGUAUUGGAGAAUGGGAAAAGGGUUAAUAUUCCCUUACCCGGACACGGAGAUAGGGGCACCCGUGUCCCAAGUGCGGUAACGCAAACGAACUCGGCGACGCCGUCGGAGGACCCGGAGAAGAGUUGACUUUUCUUCGUAAGAGCUCGUGUCCCUGGAAUCUCGUCACGAGGAGAUAGGGACGCUGUUCUCGUAAGAGCACGGUCGCUGCUGCCGUGUCCGGUGCGCCUCCGCCGGCCCUUGAAAAACCGAGGGAGAGAGUGUGAUUUUCGUGCCGGUCCGUACCCAUAUCCGCAGCAGGUCUCCAAGGUGAACAGCCUCUAGUCUCUAGAACAAUGUAGGUAAGGGAAGUCGGCAAGUUCGAUCCCUAACUUCGGGAAAAGGAUUGGCUCUUGUGUUUCCGUCCUCGCGGACCUCUUUUGCCGUAUUUCUUGCGCUUCUGCCGUGGGGACUGACCGCCCUCUCCGAGGCGUGGUCGGACCCCUACGCGGACGGAGGGAAGAGGAAAGAGGGUGGCCUCGCUCCUUCGAGAGCCGGGGCUUGUGCCGCGGGACAUCGUGGAAACGAACAAGAACUGGCACGGACUAGGGGAAUCCGACUGUCUAAUUAAAACAAAGCAUUGCGACGGCCGGAGAACGGUGUUGACGCAAUGUGAUUUCUGCCCAGUGCUCUGAAUGUCAAAGUGAAGAAAUUCAAUGAAGCGCGGGUAAACGGCGGAAGUAACUAUGACUUUCUUAAGGUAGCCAAACGCCUCGUCAUCUAAUUAGUGACGCGCAUGAAUGGAUUAACGAGAUUCCCACUGUCCCUAUCUACUAUCUAGCGAAACCACAGCCAAGGGAACGGGCUUGGCAAAUUCAUCGGGGAAAGAAGACCCUUUCGAGCUUGACUGUAGUCUGACUCUGUGGCGAGGCAUUAUUGGCGUAGUCUAGGUGGGAGUCUUUUCGUGAGGCGGGUCUGUGAAAUACCACUACUUUGAUCGCCUUGUUACUGAUUCGGUGAUGCUCUGUGGUCCUUCCUUCGGGAUGCGACGUGUUAUGUGAACUUAACCCGCGCUUCGUCGAAAGCGUCGGGGAAGAGCUCCGAAGACAGUGUCAGGCAGGCAGUUUGUCUGGGGCGGAACAUCUGUCAAAAGGCAACGCAGGUGUCCCAAGGCCGGCUCGGCCGGGACGGAAACCUGGCUUAGAGCAAAGGGGCAAAAGCCGGCUCGAUCUCGUUCUUCAGUAAGGAAGGGGACCUCGAAAGAGGGGCCCAUCGAUCCUUUCGAUGCGUGGGAGUCUCACGCGAGAGGUGUCAGAAAAGUUACCGGAGGGAUAACUGGCUUGUGGCGGCCAAGCGUUCAUAGCGACGUCGCUUAUUGAUUCUUCGAUGUCGGCUCUUCCUAUCAUUGCGAAGCAGAAUUCGCAAAGCGUUGGAUUGUUCACCCACUAACAGGUAACGUGAGCUGGGUUUAGACCGUCGUGAGACAGGUUAGUUUUACCCUCAUGAAGACGGGUCGUCGCGACGGUAAAAUCUGCCCAGUACGAGAGGAACCGUAGGUUCGGACAUUUGGUACUGCGCUCGGUGGUGCCGCCGGUGGCGCGAAGCUACCAUCCGCUCGGAUAACGGCUGAACGCCUCUAAGUCGGAAGCCGUCCCGAGAACGGUGAGGAUAUCAUUGUGUGCCCCUCGCGUCGAACGGCAGCUCUAGCCCCUCGAUGUUCCCCCCUCGGCCCCGCCGUCGGGGAGCGCGAGCGGGCGAAAGUGGCCCCUUCGCACGCCCGAGACCUCCGGGACCCUCCGUAGACUCCGAGGGUCCUGCUCCUGCGAGCCUGCCUCCGGGCAGACGAGUGAUGUGAGUGGGCGUAGAGUCGUCUGCAGACGACGUUCUUGCUGGACGGGGUGUCGUAAGUAGCAGAGCACCCACCAUAGUGCGAUCUACUGAGACUCAUCCCU
This 2526-nucleotide ribosomal RNA is filed under the name Trichonephila clavata. Its description in RNAcentral is "28S ribosomal RNA". It matches the Rfam family "Eukaryotic large subunit ribosomal RNA", at positions 1008 to 3385 of the family's 3401-position model. Lineage: Eukaryota; Metazoa; Arthropoda; Arachnida; Araneae; Nephilidae. The record is from RNAcentral.